RNA transcript from Exaiptasia diaphana, 3433 nucleotides. RefSeq lists it as uncharacterized. The record is from RefSeq and is a predicted model, not a curated record. The transcript is spliced from 2 exons. NCBI's taxonomy places the organism in Eukaryota, Metazoa, Cnidaria, Anthozoa, Actiniaria, Aiptasiidae.
CUCUGGAUAUCAGGUCUGAAGCUAGGAUUAUUGGGUGUAUCUGAAUGAAAAGAACUUGAUAACUGAAAAUGGAAAGUAGGAAGCUUGAUACUGCAAUAUUGCUCGACAGGAAACACUACUAAUUCUGUCUCGAGCGAUGUGAGUUCUUGGAGCGCCUUUCCUGGAAAACACUCAUCAAUACUUUCAGCGGAAAAUCUCCAUCACAACCUAACAUCAAAAACAUCACAAAUGUACUUGAUAAUAACACUUUUGACUGUACAGCAUGUGGCUCUACUGGCUGAUGCCGUUCAAUUCAAGGAAAUCAAAAGAUGCAAAGGUGAAUCAGUGAUCUUGUCAUGUCCAUCACGAAUCGAUUACAUGAAAACCUUUGUAAGAUUCAACAGGAAAUUAGUAAAAGAAGGUCUGAAUCAAAAGUACAAGUAUAUCCAAAAUGGUGUACUUCUUGUGAAAAAUAUCAGCGAGAGUGAUGGAGGCAUAUAUAGAUAUCACUGCAAAUAUAAAACUAACUGUUCUAGAAGCCAAACGUGCGUAAUAUAUYUAAAMAUCAGUAAGAAAUGCGAAUCAAUGGUUGUUGACGAAGGGACGGCUAUCAAAAUGACUUGCAAAACAACAASAUUAUCAGACCCYAUCAAGGAAAUCRAAUGGUUCAAGAGUUCAACUACUACUAAAUUGAAAAUCASGUUGAACGCAAACACCACCGAGGAUCRACAAAACAAAAWAUAUCCAGAAAGRCUAGAUAUUUCAUGGGAUGUUUUGAAAAUAAUAGACGCRCGCAAAGAUGACGACGGGRCAUACUUCUGUAUCAUCACGUUUGACUUGAAAAAGAAUAGCUCUAGAACGCCKAGAAGCCAUUAUARAUAUCUCCUUCGCGUUAUAACAAGCCCGCGAGAGCAGCCUGCAACAGCAAGCUCUACUAUCAAAAAACAAUCGACAGACUAUCUAAAAACGUUUCCAGUGACCUCUCCAACAACGACCAUGAAGACCAUGACCGUAUCAUAUCUCCUUCGCGUUAUAACAAGCCAGCGAGAGCGGCCUGCAACAGCAAGCUCUACUUUCAAAAAACAAUCGACAGACGAGAGAUAUCUGAAAACCUUUUCAACUACCUCUCCAACAACGACCAUGAAGUCCAUGACCGAAUCAUCUUCCAAAAUAACGACUGCAACUACCUCUCCAACAACGACCAUGGAGCCCAUGACCUUAUCAUCUUCCAAAAUAACGACUACAACUACCUCUCCAACAACGACCAUGAAGUCCAUGACCUUAUCAUCUUCCAAAAUAACGACUGCAACUAUGAGAGCGUAUAAUAAUACGGGCAACAAUACGAUACGGGAAACACUGACUCCAUCUCAUGUAAGCUGCAGUCCCAGAGUCCCAGAGUUGUACAUGUACGUUGUUUCACCGAUCUUAAUACGGCUUAUGUAACGCUGACCUGCAUAUACAAAAAGAUCCUAACCCUAAAAGCCUGCUUUGAAAUAUUCUAGACAAUCAAGUGUAAAAAGAAAGCUGUUUAAAUACGCAUAUUAUGAAUGCCGAAAAACAACGUAAUGAUUUCUCCUCAAUUAUUUAUACACAGUAUAUAAGACACCAACAACAGUGAUUUCCACAACUUCCCGGAAUUCCGGGAAACUGCGAAYAAUUUCCGAGUACAAAGUCGAGUAACGCACCCACAAGGGGUAUUUCAUAGGAAUUUAUUAUAGACAAUAAAGAAAAUAGAACUUCAUACAGUAGUAGGUUUGUAUAUUUAGCCACAGCACUUUGGUAUUGAACGAUCACGGUCUUUUGAUCGUGGGUAAUAGCGGAAAAGAUCUGUUUCUAAUCAAACAUUUGCUAUCGAAUGUGUUGCGUGACUAAAUGAAUGUGUAAAAUAUCGGAAGUCAAAGAUAUUCUCAGAGAAUCAUUUAAAUCAGCGUUGACCAAUGUUCUAAAUAUAGCUUGAGUGAGUUUUAUGUAGCACAACCAAUUGGUUACUAGCACUGUAGUAUGAAACAUCGCAGCACUGUGUUAAGAAGCUCAUUGUAAAAGGAGGUCUUAACUUGAUCACAGUAAAGCACUAUGAGCGCUCUUAUAAUAAUACAAGAUCACAUGAAAUCUUUUAUCAUAAUCGUUUACGUGCUGGCCUCCGUCAGGGUAGGAGACCUGAACACUACACCUGAGCCGAUGAGCCUAAACCAAACGAAGAUGGUGGYCUGCAUCGGAGGAAGAGUGAAAUUACCUUCGCUUUCCCAAGAAAAUUGCACAGGAAAACCACUGCUUCUUGGCCCACAUGGAAAAAUUUCAAAAACCGARGGAAGAUUUACUAAGAAAGGAGACAGUUGGCAAAUUUCAGGAGUCCAGGCGUCAGACAGUGGUCAGUGGAAAAUACGCAGGUACUGCAACAACAUAGUAACGUUAACCGUGGAUCUUGAAAUUAACUGCCAGCACGUCUUGGCUGAAGCAGAAAGUACUCUCUCCUUGAAAUGCCCAAAGCCUUCGAUUCCUGUGGGUGCAACCAACAUCAAGAGGGAGAUGUAUUGUAAGCUGCCAAGGAAAGAARCCAUAGAAGUUCUAAAAGAUGGAAGGGUUACCGACAAAUCUAAGGAAAUGUUUGGCGGGAAGAGACUCACGGUUGGACCUGAUGGCCACAGUCUUAACAUCAGUAACAUCACAACUGACGAUGCAGGGAACUAUACGUGUCUGUGGCGCUGGGAGAAUCCCUCGAAAAAUCUUGGUUCCCGCAWGUUUACCUUUGAUAUGAAGGUAAUUGUUGUCGUGAGGCCACCAACCACGCCAAGCAAGUUCGCUAGUGCUUCGUCCCCAUCGACCAAUAGCAGCACUGUGACAGCUAYAGCUCCUAUUACAUCUGAUGUGCAGAGUUCAGUUACAAGGGACAAGCCAAGUAAUCUGAUCUUGGCUCUCCUACUGAUGAUCUUCUUCAUUGUCAUCAGGACUUGAAUGAUCCAGACUACCUUACAGCAAGAGGCGGCGUCCAAGGGACCUUCAGCUAAGGUGAUCAACCCAGAUCACAGAAGUMAAACACCCUACACGUUAGACGUUCAAGACGGUCCCUUCCCCAUUGUGGAGAUGAGCACGAGUCAAUCGAAAGAGACUGGCAAUGGGCCUUACGAAUUAAGUGCCUGCUCAUAAGUAAUAAAGGAGAGAAACUAACUCUGCAACUUCCACUCUGCGAUCGCUGUCAGGAGUGGCUAGAUAUAGUGCUUAAGUAUAAUAGUCAAUUGACAUUCCUUUGAAGUUUAACAUUCACUUUGAAGUAUUAUUAAUUUGCCUAUAAAAAUUGUCUUUAAUGCUGUAACAAGGAUUUUCAUAUCCAGUAAAAUGUGACAUAAUAAGUAACUGCAAGUUGUGAUUAAUAUGCUCUCAGAAAAAGAGAAAAGACUGUAACAUUAAUUUGUACAUAUUGCCUAAGUACUGCUAACAAGUAUYAAUUGGAUAAUGA